GACGGUUAAUUUGCCCACCGCUACUCUUACCUUGAGCCACAGUAGCAUCGUGCACAACCGGUGGUUCUGGAAUUUGGGCGAGCGGCUGCACUGGCGAUUGCUGCUGGCGAUUGCUGCUGGCGACGAGCGGCUCCACCGGCGAUUGCAGCCGGCGACGAGCCUGGGAUUGCGGCGGGCGGCUGCAGCUGAGGACAGCCGCCAGCGGUUUCAGGGCAAGCGCGCGACCUCGCCGGCGCGCGUCCAGGCGACCUCGCCGGCGCGCGACCUCCGACCUUAUGCUCCGGCAGCAGCUGCGAUCCCCGACCUCCACCAGUUGCCAGAUCCAGGUGAGGCCAAGUCUUCUACAGAUAAGGUAUGAUGGGUUUUUGGCAGAUUCACGUUCCGUGAUGUCACAGAGGUGAAGUAGAGAAGAGACACUGGGACGGUCUUCUGGCUGGUGCCUAGUGCAUCAAGUGUAUGGCACUGCAGCAGGUAGCAUAGAUGGUAUGCAAUGCUGCGGGUGGCCUCGUCUGCGACAUCAUCGACGUAUGGGACAGACGGCGAUGUUCAAAAUAUUAAGUGGGAUUGGGGGUGUGUCCUGCUCCUGGGUACACAAUGAAAUGUAGAGCUGCACUGCAUGUUGUGGUCUUCAGCGUCGGGCUGCCUAGUACGGUGGAAAUACAACAUCAAAGCGUCGUCUAGUGGAGCUGAUGUAACUAAAUAAUUUGCAUCGACUCAUGUAAUUUAUUACAUGUUAACAUAUUAAUUCCUUUACUUUUGAUAUGCGCGCAAUGCCUGAAAUAUGUAGACACAUGUGUGCAUGGACACACUGGAGUUCUUGCUGAAGCCGUACGUGCAAAACUUGCAUUGUGUAAUCAGGCCAUCCUUACUAUUCUUACGGGCAUUAAACUUUUACAUCACCUCUGAAAUAUCUUAGCUUUAUUAAGUUGUAAUCAUUCUUCUUUAUCAGUGUAUAUUAUCUACCAUGACUUGGAGUUCCUA
This is a long non-coding RNA of Lolium perenne, 981 nucleotides long. RefSeq lists it as uncharacterized. The record is from RefSeq and is a predicted model, not a curated record. NCBI's taxonomy places the organism in Eukaryota, Viridiplantae, Streptophyta, Magnoliopsida, Poales, Poaceae.